Molecule: unclassified non-coding RNA, 164 nt
Filed under: uncultured fungus
Lineage: Eukaryota; Fungi
Description: sequence contains ITS1
Source: RNAcentral
UCGAGUUUGGUACCUCUCAGGUACCUUCUCCCACCAAUUGUGAACCUUUUGAAUGUUGCCUCGGUGGGUAGGUGGUACCCCCACCUCCAGUUAGGUCUGGAAGCUCACCGAUGGAUUUUUAAACUCGUUUAAUCAUGAAAUCUGAGUAAAAACAAAAUUAAACA